This 768-nucleotide ribosomal RNA is filed under the name Halomonas sp. Loihi-Chm(16S)-6. RNAcentral describes it as "bacterial SSU rRNA". It matches the Rfam family "Bacterial small subunit ribosomal RNA", at positions 8 to 773 of the family's 1533-position model. The record is from RNAcentral. Lineage: Bacteria; Pseudomonadati; Pseudomonadota; Gammaproteobacteria; Oceanospirillales; Halomonadaceae.
AGAGUUUGAUCCUGGCUCAGAUUGAACGCUGGCGGCAGGCCUAACACAUGCAAGUCGAGCGGUAACAGAUCCAGCUUGCUGGAUGCUGACGAGCGGCGGACGGGUGAGUAAUGCAUAGGAAUCUGCCCGAUAGUGGGGGAUAACCUGGGGAAACCCAGGCUAAUACCGCAUACGUCCUACGGGAGAAAGGGGGCUCCGGCUCCCGCUAUGGGAUGAGCCUAUGUCGGAUUAACUAGUUGGUGAGGUAACUGCUCACCAAGGCCACGAUCCGUAGCUGGUCUGAGAAGAUGAUCAGCCACAUCGGGACUGAAACACGGCCCGAACUCCUACGGGAGGCAGCAGUGGGGAAUAUUGGACAAUGGGGGCAACCCUGGAUCCAGCCAUGCCGCGUGUGUGAAGAAGGCCCUCGGGUUGUAAAGCACUUUCAGCGAGGAAGAACGCCUAGCGGUUAAUACCCGCUAGGAAAGACAUCACUCGCAGAAGAAGCACCGGCUAACUCCGUGCCAGCAGCCGCGGUAAUACGGAGGGUGCAAGCGUUAAUCGGAAUUACUGGGCGUAAAGCGCGCGUAAGUGGCUUGAUAAGCCGGUUGUGAAAGCCCCGGGCUCAACCUGGGAACGGCAUCCGGAACUGUCAAGCUAGAGUGCAAGAGAGGAAGGUAGAAUUCCCGGUGUACCGGUGAAAUGCGUAGAGAUCGGGAGGAAUACCAGUGGCGAAGGCGGCUUCUGGACUGACACUGACACUGAGGUGCGAAAGCGUGGGUAGCAACA